GACGAACGCUGGCGGCGUGCUUAACACAUGCAAGUCGAACGGAAAGGCCCUGCUUUUGUGGGGUGCUCGAGUGGCGAACGGGUGAGUAACACGUGAGUAACCUGCCCUUGACUUUGGGAUAACUUCAGGAGACUGGGGCUAAUACCGGAUAGGAGCUCCUGCUGCAUGGUGGGGGUUGGAAAGUUACGGCGGUUGGGGAUGGACUCGCGGCUUAUCAGCUUGUUGGUGGGGUAGUGGCUUACCAAGGCUUUGACGGGUAGCCGGCCUGAGAGGGUGACCGGCCACAUUGGGACUGAGAUACGGCCCAGACUCCUACGGGAGGCAGCAGUGGGGAAUAUUGCACAAUGGGCGGAAGCCUGAUGCAGCAACGCCGCGUGCGGGAUGACGGCCUUCGGGUUGUAAACCGCUUUCGCCUGUGACGAAGCGUGAGUGACGGUAAUGGGUAAAGAAGCACCGGCUAACUACGUG
Molecule: ribosomal RNA, 468 nt
Filed under: uncultured bacterium
Lineage: Bacteria
Description: partial 16S ribosomal RNA
Rfam family: Bacterial small subunit ribosomal RNA
Source: RNAcentral